This 301-nucleotide ribosomal RNA is filed under the name uncultured bacterium. RNAcentral's name for it is "partial 16S ribosomal RNA". It matches the Rfam family "Bacterial small subunit ribosomal RNA", at positions 509 to 807 of the family's 1533-position model. The record is from RNAcentral.
CAGUCGCCGCGGUAAUACGAAGGGGGCUAGCGUUGUUCGGAAUUACUGGGCGUAAAGGGCGCGUAGGCGGCCAUUCAAGUUAGAUGUGAAAGCCCCGGGCUCAACCUGGGAACUGCAUCUUAUACUGCGUAGCUGGAGUGCAGUAGAGGGUAGUGGAAUUUCCGGUGUAGCGGUGAAAUGCGUAGAUAUCGGAAGGAACACCAGUGGCGAAGGCGGCUACCUGGACUGACACUGACACUGAGGCGCGAAAGCGUGGGGAGCAAACAGGAUUAGAUACCCCUGUAGUCCCUGUCUCUUAUAC